AUUCCAUUUCUCACACGCUGAUCCGGAGACACGCAUCAGCAUCAGUCUCACAUACACGCUGUUUUUUUAAUACAUUGGACUAUAUUAGAUUAGCACAAAUAUACAUUCAGAAGAAGGGCAGCGUCCACUUGUACAGAUAGAUUUGCCAAACCACGACACACACGCAUGUACCACUCCACUCCUGAUUCCGACUUCCGACAUCUGUUCACACAAAAAAAAAAUCACCUCCGUUCCCCUUUCUCCUUGCUCUCCCGUGAGGCUACUGCCGCUGAGCCUGCUCCUCGAUUCCGUCCGCCGGAGCUGCCAAUCGACACAGGCGAGCACAGAAUCAUGCUCUCUGUAGCCUGCACAGCAGAUUCGUUCCCGCCAACAUGCCCUUCUCCCUUUACUCGCAGCCUAUGUGCCCCUGUAUGACAUCGGGUCAGCGGAGCCGGAACUGGAGCUCGAUCCGCCACUAUGGCAUCCUCGGUGACGGUAACUGCGACGCCAUCGGCGCAGCGGCUAUAGCAGGCUUGCACUUGCAGAGGGACAGAGGGAUACACACCUGGAAGAGGAGGGCUCCGAGGUCCCCAUUGUGCCGCCAUCUACCUCUGGAAGGAGAUGAGAGCCCCGAGUUCAUCCACCACAGCGGCUGAAGAGGAAGGCUCUCUGAGAUCUCCACCGCGCCGCCAUCUGCCUAGGGAUUGGUAGGUGACACGGCGGCCAAAGAGGGAGAAGAGGAGGCCAGCCAUAGGGAAGCUCACAGCGGCUAGAGAGGGAGAAGUGGAGGCCGGCCAUAGGGAAGCCAUCAGCCGCCUCGGUAGGUGGCACGGCGGCGGCCAGAGAGGGAGAAGAGGAGGCUGGCCAUGGGAAAAGAAAGUUGAGGGCAAAACGACAUCUCGAAUUGUUCCAUGGUGGGGAUCGUGUGGCGCCGCUUUGACCAGCUGCCGCUUUGACCGAAUCAACCAGAAGGCAAUAGAUGCAAUUGGAAGUGAUCCAUAAAAAGAGGAAGGAGAGAGGCAACAACCGGUAGCCGGUUGCCUGACCGCCUGGAAAAAAAAAGAUGUAAAACAAUUACCUGAGUGAUUACGGAAGGGACAAAACAAAUACAGUAGCUACGUGUCAAUCAAUAAUUCAGGGAAAGAGUGGAUAAAUAGCA
This is a long non-coding RNA of Lolium perenne, 1138 nucleotides long. RefSeq lists it as uncharacterized. Lineage: Eukaryota; Viridiplantae; Streptophyta; Magnoliopsida; Poales; Poaceae. The record is from RefSeq and is a predicted model, not a curated record.